GGGUUGUGAGGUUAAGCGACUAAGCGUACACGGUGGAUGCCCUGGCAGUCAGAGGCGAUGAAGGACGUGCUAAUCUGCGAUAAGCGCCGGUAAGGUGAUAUGAACCGUUAUAACCGGCGAUUUCCGAAUGGGGAAACCCAGUGUGAUUCGUCACACUAUCAUUAACUGAAUCCAUAGGUUAAUGAGGCGAACCGGGGGAACUGAAACAUCUAAGUACCCCGAGGAAAAGAAAUCAACCGAGAUUCCCCCAGUAGCGGCGAGCGAACGGGGAGGAGCCCAGAGCCUGAAUCAGCAUGUGUGUUAGUGGAAGCGUCUGGAAAGGCGCGCGAUACAGGGUGACAGCCCCGUACACAAAAGCGCAUGUGCUGUGAGCUCGAUGAGUAGGGCGGGACACGUGGUAUCCUGUCUGAAUAUGGGGGGACCAUCCUCCAAGGCUAAAUACUCCUGACUGACCGAUAGUGAACCAGUACCGUGAGGGAAAGGCGAAAAGAACCCCGGCGAGGGGAGUGAAAAAGAACCUGAAACCGUGUACGUACAAGCAGUGGGAGCACAGGUUUACCUGUGUGACUGCGUACCUUUUGUAUAAUGGGUCAGCGACUUAUAUUCUGUAGCAAGGUUAACCGUAUAGGGGAGCCGGAGGGAAACCGAGUCUUAACCGGGCGUUAAGUUGCAGGGUAUAGACCCGAAACCCGGUGAUCUAGCCAUGGGCAGGUUGAAGGUUGGGUAACACUAACUGGAGGACCGAACCGACUAAUGUUGAAAAAUUAGCGGAUGACCUGUGGCUGGGGGUGAAAGGCCAAUCAAACCGGGAGAUAGCUGGUUCUCCCCGAAAGCUAUUUAGGUAGCGCCUCGUGAAUUCAUCUCCGGGGGUAGAGCACUGUUUCGGCUAGGGGGCCAUCCCGGCUUACCAACCCGAUGCAAACUGCGAAUACCGGAGAAUGUUAUCACGGGAGACACACGGCGGGUGCUAACGUCCGUCGUGAAGAGGGAAACAACCCAGACCGCCAGCUAAGGUCCCAAAGUCAUGGUUAAGUGGGAAACGAUGUGGGAAGGCCCAGACAGCCAGGAUGUUGGCUUAGAAGCAGCCAUCAUUUAAAGAAAGCGUAAUAGCUCACUGGUCGAGUCGGCCUGCGCGGAAGAUGUAACGGGGCUAAACCAUGCACCGAAGCUGCGGCAGCGACACUCAGGUGUUGUUGGGUAGGGGAGCGUUCUGUAAGCCUGUGAAGGUGGCCUGUGAGGGUUGCUGGAGGUAUCAGAAGUGCGAAUGCUGACAUAAGUAACGAUAAAGCGGGUGAAAAGCCCGCUCGCCGGAAGACCAAGGGUUCCUGUCCAACGUUAAUCGGGGCAGGGUGAGUCGACCCCUAAGGCGAGGCCGAAAGGCGUAGUCGAUGGGAAACGGGUUAAUAUUCCCGUACUUGGUGUUACUGCGAAGGGGGGACGGAGAAGGCUAUGUUGGCCGGGCGACGGUUGUCCCGGUUUAAGCGUGUAGGUGUGUGUUCCAGGUAAAUCCGGUUCACUUUAACACUGAGGCGUGACGACGAGGCACUACGGUGCUGAAGCAACAAAUGCCCUGCUUCCAGGAAAAGCCUCUAAGCAUCAGGUAACAUCAAAUCGUACCCCAAACCGACACAGGUGGUCAGGUAGAGAAUACCAAGGCGCUUGAGAGAACUCGGGUGAAGGAACUAGGCAAAAUGGUGCCGUAACUUCGGGAGAAGGCACGCUGACACGUAGGUGAAGUGAUUUACUCAUGGAGCUGAAGUCAGUCGAAGAUACCAGCUGGCUGCAACUGUUUAUUAAAAACACAGCACUGUGCAAACACGAAAGUGGACGUAUACGGUGUGACGCCUGCCCGGUGCCGGAAGGUUAAUUGAUGGGGUCAGCGCAAGCGAAGCUCCUGAUCGAAGCCCCGGUAAACGGCGGCCGUAACUAUAACGGUCCUAAGGUAGCGAAAUUCCUUGUCGGGUAAGUUCCGACCUGCACGAAUGGCGUAAUGAUGGCCAGGCUGUCUCCACCCGAGACUCAGUGAAAUUGAACUCGCUGUGAAGAUGCAGUGUACCCGCGGCAAGACGGAAAGACCCCGUGAACCUUUACUAUAGCUUGACACUGAACAUUGAGCCUUGAUGUGUAGGAUAGGUGGGAGGCUUUGAAGUGUGGACGCCAGUCUGCAUGGAGCCGACCUUGAAAUACCACCCUUUAAUGUUUGAUGUUCUAACGUGGACCCGUUACCCGGGUUGCGGACAGUGUCUGGUGGGUAGUUUGACUGGGGCGGUCUCCUCCUAAAGAGUAACGGAGGAGCACGAAGGUUGGCUAAUCCUGGUCGGACAUCAGGAGGUUAGUGCAAUGGCAUAAGCCAGCUUGACUGCGAGCGUGACGGCGCGAGCAGGUGCGAAAGCAGGUCAUAGUGAUCCGGUGGUUCUGAAUGGAAGGGCCAUCGCUCAACGGAUAAAAGGUACUCCGGGGAUAACAGGCUGAUACCGCCCAAGAGUUCAUAUCGACGGCGGUGUUUGGCACCUCGAUGUCGGCUCAUCA
RNAcentral lists this ribosomal RNA (2529 nucleotides) under Salmonella enterica subsp. enterica serovar Paratyphi A. RNAcentral describes it as "partial 23S ribosomal RNA". It matches the Rfam family "Bacterial large subunit ribosomal RNA", at positions 1 to 2542 of the family's 2925-position model. Lineage: Bacteria; Pseudomonadati; Pseudomonadota; Gammaproteobacteria; Enterobacterales; Enterobacteriaceae. The record is from RNAcentral.